CAGAGGUCCCAAGCGUUGUUCGGAUUCACUGGGCGUAAAGGGUGCGUAGGUGGUAAGGUAAGUCAGGUGUGAAAUCUCCAAGCUCAACUUGGAAACUGCAUUCGAAACUGCCUUGCUAGAGGAUUUGAGGGGGGACUGGAAUACUUGGUGUAGCAGUGAAAUGCGUAGAUAUCAAGUGGAACACCAGUGGCGAAGGCGAGUCCCUGGAAAACUCCUGACACUGAGGCACGAAAGCUAGGGGAGCAAACAGGAUUAGAUACCCUGGUAGUCCUAGCCCUAAACGGUGCUUGCUUGCUGUAAGAGGAAUCGACCCCUCUUGUGGCGGAGCUAACGCGUUAAGCAAGCCGCCUGGGAAGUACGGUCGCAAGAUUA
RNAcentral lists this ribosomal RNA (372 nucleotides) under uncultured organism. Its description in RNAcentral is "bacterial SSU rRNA". It matches the Rfam family "Bacterial small subunit ribosomal RNA", at positions 526 to 896 of the family's 1533-position model. The record is from RNAcentral.